UGCAGAGUGACGGGAGCAAUCCCGUUAAUGCGGUCCGGCAGACGGUCACAAACCCCGA
RNAcentral lists this non-coding RNA (58 nucleotides) under unclassified sequences. The record is from RNAcentral.